GCGGACGUCCGCACUUCGCUAAAGUGCGGACGGCGAUGCAGCGGAGGCGUUCCAGGCGGCGGCGGCGCGCGGCUUGCAGGAGGGAGGCCGGAGGCAUCUUGGACUGUUCUGGGCAGUGUUCACGGUCGGAGGAGGUCGGGGUUGCAGGUUCUGGGCAGCAACCCGACCUGCAACUGCAGGUUUUCUGGGCAGCCCUCCAACGACGUCGCCGGCGACUCCACCUACUGCAGACGGCUCCGCCCGACCCCUGGCGUCCUUCCGGCAACCCUCGCUGCUCCGUCGCGCCCCGAGCCGAGCUGCAGCAGCGCCGUCCGCACUUUAACGAAAGUGCGGACGUCCUCUUUGGAACGCCUCCG
This 356-nucleotide long non-coding RNA is filed under the name Rosa chinensis. RNAcentral describes it as "sRNA RchiOBHm_Chr6g0273441". Lineage: Eukaryota; Viridiplantae; Streptophyta; Magnoliopsida; Rosales; Rosaceae. The record is from RNAcentral.